CUCAGGAUGCCUGCAUUCCAUCAGAGAUCAAGCCAAUGGAUCUCAAUCAUCAGUUCCAACUUUAAGAUUCCAUGUUUCUUUCUGAGGUCUUGAUCAAAUGUGCAAGGUCCUAGCAUCAAUGAUACGAUUAAAUUCUCUGAAGCUUGGUGUGCUAUUGAGCAGGGCCAUCCCCAUUGUUGCAUGCCUGGGUGUGCCCACGUGAGAAGUGCAACAUGAAGCAUUAAAAUGAUGGGAGAUGCAGACUUCAAGGGAAGAAGAAGAGCUAAAUAGUGCUCUUUGUUUUCCAAGCACAUGGUGCCAAGGUGCACAAUGGGGCAUUGCUGCACAGAGGCAAAGUCACACAUCCCUCAAGUGUCAGCUGAGAUUACCAGGGAAACCAGGACCUGCUGAUGGGGAUUAAUGAGCCCGCCAGAAUGUCCAGGCUGGAUCAUAAUUGCAGCCCUCAUUUUCCAGAUGGGAAAUAGAAUCCCAGAGAUAAUGAGUGACCUGCAGGAAGUUAUAUAGCAUAAGAGACAGAGUCAGGAAUGCAACCAUGAACUCUUGCUUCAGACCCCCAGUGUUGUUUUCCAAA
This is a non-coding RNA of Ictidomys tridecemlineatus (thirteen-lined ground squirrel), 571 nucleotides long. The record is from RefSeq and is a predicted model, not a curated record. NCBI's taxonomy places the organism in Eukaryota, Metazoa, Chordata, Mammalia, Rodentia, Sciuridae.